RNAcentral lists this ribosomal RNA (582 nucleotides) under uncultured bacterium. RNAcentral describes it as "partial 16S ribosomal RNA". It matches the Rfam family "Bacterial small subunit ribosomal RNA", at positions 355 to 937 of the family's 1533-position model. The record is from RNAcentral.
UGGGGAAUUUUGGACAAUGGGCGAAAGCCUGAUCCAGCAAUGCCGCGUGUGUGAAGAAGGCCUUCGGGUUGUAAAGCACUUUUGUCCGGAAAGAAAUCCUUGGCUCUAAUACAGUCGGGGGAUGACGGUACCGGAAGAAUAAGCACCGGCUAACUACGUGCCAGCAGCCGCGGUAAUACGUAGGGUGCAAGCGUUAAUUGGAAUUACUGGGCGUAAAGCGUGCGCAGGCGGUUUGCUAAGACCGAUGUGAAAUCCCCGGGCUCAACCUGGGAACUGCAUUGGCGACUGGCAGGCUAGAGUAUGGCAGAGGGGGGUAGAAUUCCACGUGUAGCAGUGAAAUGCGUAGAGAUGUGGAGGAAUACCGAUGGCGAAGGCAGCCCCCUGGGCCAAUACUGACGCUCAUGCACGAAAGCGUGGGGAGCAAACAGGAUUAGAUACCCUGGUAGUCCACGCCCUAAACGAUGUCAACUAGUUGUUGGGGAUUCAUUCCUUAGUAACGUAGCUAACGCGUGAAGUUGACCGCCUGGGGAGUACGGUCGCAAGAUUAAAACUCAAGGAAUUGACGGGGUCAUAGCUGUUUCC